GCUUGUCUCAAAGAUUAAGCCAUGCAUGUCUAAGUGUAAAUAAGUCUAUACUGUGAAACUGCGAAUGGCUCAUUAAAUCAGUUAUCGUUUAUUUGAUGAUCUCUUACUACUUGGAUAACCGUAGUAAUUCUAGAGCUAAUACAUGCACAAAAUCCCGACUUACGAAGGGAUGUAUUUAUUAGAUACAAACCAACAUCGUGGUGAUUCAUAAUAACUUUUCGAACCUCAUGCCUUUAUGGUGGAGGUGAUUCAUUCAAAUUUCUGCCCUAUCAACUUUCGAUGGUAAGGUAUUGGCUUACCAUGGUUGCAACGGGUAACGGAGAAUUAGGGUUCGAUUCCGGAGAGGGCGCCUGAGAAAUGGCGACCACAUCCAAGGAAGGCAGCAGG
This 387-nucleotide ribosomal RNA is filed under the name uncultured Katablepharidophyta. RNAcentral's name for it is "partial small subunit ribosomal RNA". It matches the Rfam family "Eukaryotic small subunit ribosomal RNA", at positions 30 to 432 of the family's 1831-position model. The record is from RNAcentral. Lineage: Eukaryota; Cryptophyceae; Kathablepharidacea.